CCCUUAGAUGUUCUGGACUGCACGCGCGCUACACUGAAGCUAUCAACACGUUUUCCCUCCCUGAGAAGGGCGGGUAACCUUUUGAAUCAGCUUCGUGGUAGGGAUCGGGGCUUGCAAUUGUUCCCCGUGAACCAGGAAUUCCUAGUAGACGCGAGUCAUAAGCUCGCAUCGAUUAAGUCCCUGCCCUUUGUACACACCGCCCGUCGCUACUACCGAUUGAACGUUUUAGUGAGGCAUUUGGACCGACGCAUCUCAGUUUAACCGCUGGUUUGUGUUGGAAAGACUUCCAAACUUGAGCGUUUAGAGGAAGUGAAAGUCGUAACA
This 324-nucleotide ribosomal RNA is filed under the name uncultured eukaryote. Its description in RNAcentral is "partial 18S ribosomal RNA". It matches the Rfam family "Eukaryotic small subunit ribosomal RNA", at positions 1470 to 1796 of the family's 1831-position model. The record is from RNAcentral.